Molecule: ribosomal RNA, 432 nt
Filed under: uncultured archaeon
Lineage: Archaea
Description: bacterial SSU rRNA
Rfam family: Archaeal small subunit ribosomal RNA
Source: RNAcentral
UACCAGCUCUUCGAGUGGUGUGGAUGUUUAUUGGGCCUAAAGCAUCCGUAGCUGGCUGGGCAAGUCCCCUGUUAAAUCCACCGAUUUAAUCGUUGGAGUGCGGGGGAUACUGUUCGGCUAGGGGACGGGAGAGGCAGACGGUAUUUUCGGGGUAGGGGUGAAAUCCUAUAAUCCCGGGAAGACCACCAGUGGCGAAGGCUGUCUGCUAGAACGCGCCCGACGGUGAGGGAUGAAAGCUGGGGGGAGCGAACCGGAUUAGAUACCCGGGUAGUCCCAGCUGUAAACGAUGCAGGCUAGGUGUUUGGGCGGCCACGUGCCGCUCUAGUGCCGCAGGGAAGCCGUUAAGCCUGCCGCCUGGGGAGUACGGCCGCAAGGCUAGAAACUUAAAGGAAUUGGGCGGGGGAGCACCACAAGGGGUGAAGCUUGCGGUUU